This is an RNA transcript of Hyla sarda, 2276 nucleotides long. It is a transcript of the gene named cyclin K, with no coding region annotated. The record is from RefSeq and is a predicted model, not a curated record. The transcript has 13 exons. NCBI's taxonomy places the organism in Eukaryota, Metazoa, Chordata, Amphibia, Anura, Hylidae.
CAGCGCCGCCUUCUGCCGUUACAGUGUCAUUCAUUGUAGUCACGGUAGCCAUGACACCAGACCGCACUAUGUACACAGCACCUCCUGCCAUCCUGUAUACCCAAGGGGAUAUAUACCGGUUACUUGAAUGUUUGGAAGCAUCAGCAAUGAAAGAAAACAAGGAAAACUCGAGCCCCUCAGUGGCACCCGGUCCUGUGGACCAUGCCAAACCAUGUUGGUAUUGGGAUAAGAAGGAUCUGGCUCAUACACCUUCUCAGCAGGAAGGCCUGGAUCCCGCCACAGAAGCGCGAUACAGACGCGAGGGAGCGAGGUUUAUAUUCGAUGUCGGGACAAGGCUGGGACUACACUAUGACACCCUCGCCACCGGCAUUAUAUAUUUUCACAGGUUCUAUAUGUUCCAUUCCUUCAAGCAGUUUGCCAGAUAUGUGACAGGCGCCUGCUGUCUCUUCCUGGCUGGCAAGGUGGAAGAAACUCCUAAGAAAUGUAAAGACAUCAUAAAGACUGCUCGCGGCUUGCUAAAUGACGUCCAGUUCGGACAGUUUGGGGACGAUCCAAAGGAAGAGGUUAUGGUCCUAGAGAGGAUUCUUCUUCAAACCAUUAAAUUUGAUCUACAAGUGGAGCAUCCCUAUCAGUUUCUGCUUAGAUAUGCCAAACAGUUAAAAGGAGACAAGAAUAAGAUCCAGAAGUUGGUGCAGAUGGCAUGGACAUUCGUUAAUGACAGCCUCUGCACCACGCUGUCCUUGCAGUGGGAGCCGGAGAUUAUAGCCGUUGCCGUAAUGUAUCUCGCCGGACGAUUGUGCAAGUUUGAAAUCCAGGAAUGGACCUCAAAGCCAUCGUACAGAAGGUGGUGGGAGCAGUUUGUCCAGGAUGUGCCCGUGGACGUGCUGGAAGACUGUCAAGUGGAAUUACAUGAGUCUUAUGGGAUGAUGAGGCGGAGUAAAAAAUACAUCUGCCAUCAGAUCCUUGACCUGUAUUCUCAAGGCAAGCAGCAAAUGCCUCACCACGGGGUCCAGCAGCAGUCCCCUCAGGUCCAGGCACAGAUCGCUUCAGUUCAGCCCCAGCUGUCCCUGAUCGUGGAGGCAGCGCAACAGAAAGAUCCGCAACAGUCAGGGGGCCAGCAGAGUAAGAAACCAUCCCCGCAGUCCAGCCCUCCGAAGCAAACCAAGAGAGCGCUGCCAACGUCACCUAAAGAAGAGGGGAAAACACAAGAACCACUGACUAAAAUCCCUAAAGUUGAAGCUUCGCACCCUCCUCUUCCUCCUGUCAUCACCCCAACAGAGAGAAAACCUGUGGCCCCGGCUCUCGCUCCAGGGGAAGGAGAUCCCGUCAGCCUCCCCGAUGCUGCAGACUUGUCCAAGCUCCCUAUUCCUCCGCCAACUCACCCUUCCGCGGUUCAUCAGCCGCCCCCUCUGCCGCACCGGCCGCCUCCGCCUCCUUCCAGUUACAUCACCGGGAUGUCUACAACCAACUCUUACAUGUCUGGGGAGGGCUACCAGAGCCUGCAGUCAAUGAUGAAGACCGAAGCACCUGCCUAUGGGAACCUGCCGCCCGCCUACGGUCCUCCGUCUCAUAUAGGGUACCAUCCCCAUGUGUAUCCACCUAAUCCUCCGCCAAAUGUGCCGCCGCCCCCACCUCCUUCUACGUUCCCCCCUCCUAACCUCCCCCCUCCUACUUCCGUGUAUCCUCCACCACCACCUGCUUACAAUCCAAAUUUCCCGCCACCUAGACUGCCCCCUUCCCAUUCUGUCCCCAACCACCCACCUCCAGGAAUUGGUUUGCCACCAGCAAACUAUCCCCCUCCUGCAGUGCCACCUGGUGCCCAACCUCCCGUCCCUCCCCCUAUUCCACCACCUGGCAUGCCGCCUGUCGCAGGACUCGGACGCUCCGCCUGGAUGAGAUAGCGUGACCCACAGCGUGAACUCUUACGGCAAAGGAUUGGCUGAAACGCUGCAUACGUCCCGUUCUACCUUCCACGAAUUCGUAAACUACAUUGCGAUCUCUGCCCCUUUUUUUUGCCAAGUCUGGGUCCCUAACCUGGCACUGAAUGUCUGUAUUGUUACAAUGUGCCUGGCAGAUAUCCUACAGCAGUGGUCCGCAGGUUGGAGACCACUGUCCUACAGUAUAUGGAAGCCGCCUGUUGGCGCAUUAUCAGCGGCUCCCUCCUCUGCGAUAUACACUGAAAUCCAGUCCUGAUUUCGGCUUUAUAAUGUGAGGGCCAUAUUGGCCGAGCUAAAACCUUAAAAGAAUUAAAAAAAAAUAAAAAUAAUAAAAAAAAA